UCACUGGGCGGGGCUUGUGACAUCACUAGCUGGUAGGAGGUCUAGCAAGUAUCAGGUUACCCUUGGUGGGAGAAGAAGCAUGAUGGGAAGAAGUUUGUCCUUUGCUGGGGGAAGACAUAUUUUAACAUGGAGGCUGCUAUUCCAUGUGGCAGACAUUUUAAAACAAGGGAAAUAUAACUACCCCAGUGGAGGCCAGAAACUGCAGAUACUGCCGGAUUCUACUUAUAUCUACUCCCGGAUGUAUACAACCAUCCCUUACUUCGAGCUUUAACCCAGAAAGUUAGAACUAGAAGAUGGUGGAAGAGAGAUCCGCAAACACAGCUUGCCGACUUCAUCUCAGAAGCUGCCGUGCCAGCCCCCGAGCCUGGUGUUUACAUAGUGACAGAAAGAAGUGAAUGAUUCAGAAGAGCUAAAUUGCACUAAAAUGAGCAUGACUGGCCGUCUGCUUUUGAUUUGUUUGCUUAUUUUAUUGAGGGAAAUAUAUGUAGCAUGAAACUCACCGUGUUUAAACAUAUAGGAAGUUCAGUGACACUAAUACUCUCGCGCUUAGUGUAAUGGCUGCCACCGCUGAUGUGGGGUUAGGGCCACCGCAGGUUGGGUAGGACAGAAGGAGAAUGGUGCCAUUGACACCACCUUCGGAACAUUUUCAUCUUCCUCAACUAAAAUUUUGUGGUCCUGAAACCCCAACUCCCAUGACCCUAGUUUUCGGCAACCACAUUUCUGCUUUCUGAUUUCAGUACUUUGGUUACUGCAGUGUGAAAUCAAAUGAUACGUGACUGACACUUCACGUAGCUGAAUGUUUCUAAGCUUCAUCCA
This 816-nucleotide long non-coding RNA is filed under the name Fukomys damarensis (Damara mole-rat). RNAcentral's name for it is "lncRNA (ENSFDAG00000026626.1)". The record is from RNAcentral. Lineage: Eukaryota; Metazoa; Chordata; Mammalia; Rodentia; Bathyergidae.